UCUUUCUCUUUCAGGAGUGUUGCCUCCCGCUAGUCAGGCAGGGUGGAGAGGGGGCCACACAGAAUCCAGUGACACCUCAGCUCAAGUGUUCAGCGUCCUCUUCCAGUUUCAUCAUUAACAAGUGGAUUUCGUAAGGAUGAAUGUCAGGCCGCUGACGUUAAUUCACGGACUCACCUCAGACUUGUGGAGAUAAAAUCUGUUUGCCGGAGGUUGAUCUCAUAGCUUUACUGCUUGUAUCUUCCUUAUUGUAAGUUGUAAGGAUUGUUGACAGAAGUACAAUAAACUUGAGCAACUUUUA
Molecule: unclassified non-coding RNA, 298 nt
Filed under: Penaeus monodon (black tiger shrimp)
Lineage: Eukaryota; Metazoa; Arthropoda; Malacostraca; Decapoda; Penaeidae
Description: hunchback-like protein, transcript variant X2
Source: RNAcentral